UGUACCCAAGCAGUACAGUUCUAGCACUAAACAAUCAUCUGGGAACAAGUUUCAAAGCAUCAGCAGCGGAAGAGUUGCCCCAUGGCUUGAGACUGGUGAUGCAGUGGCAAGUAUGUACUCAGAAUCAAGGGGAGAGGCUCGUGAUUUUGCCAGGGUCCGGAAUACCUGCUUUGAGCAGGCUAGACAGGCUUACUUGGUUGGCAACAAGGCUCUUGCGAAGGAGCUCAGCAUGAAGGGGCAGGCCUACAAUGUGCAAAUGAAAGCGGCUCAUGAGAAAGCUAGAGAAGCUAUUUACCGACAAAGGUCUGAUAGUUGUUUUACAUGUUGA
This is a long non-coding RNA of Zea mays, 328 nucleotides long. RefSeq lists it as uncharacterized. Lineage: Eukaryota; Viridiplantae; Streptophyta; Magnoliopsida; Poales; Poaceae. The record is from RefSeq and is a predicted model, not a curated record. The transcript is spliced from 3 exons.